Molecule: long non-coding RNA, 485 nt
Filed under: Hordeum vulgare
Lineage: Eukaryota; Viridiplantae; Streptophyta; Magnoliopsida; Poales; Poaceae
Description: long non-coding RNA (HVUL_LNC006287)
Source: RNAcentral
UAGUGUUCACUUGAUUACUUGUGAGAAAGGAGCUUGAACAAGUCUACAGUAUAUGUUAUUGUUGUAAUUAAGCAUGCCAUGUGAAAUUAUAGCUAUUCUUUUUUGGUAUUAUUGUUGAUCCUUGUUUAUGCUGGAGAUGCUCCAUAUCCAUUUUUCACAUAUGUUAAUCACUAAUUGGCUACUAAAUGGCAGAUCUUUCAGGAAAAAUUUGGCGCCUCAAAUCUUGAAGAUUAGUUCUGAUUAGGUGCAGUAUCCAGUUUUUUGUCUACUACAUACGUGCUAAUUUUAGAAAUUGCAAAUUAGACCAUAUCAUUGGUGGAUUGGAAAAUAGAUUUCCUUUUAGAUUGGUGAGCUAUUGUGAACUUUAGAAGUCAGAUGUUGUGGAUGUUUAUAACAGGAAGAUGCUUGGACUUACUUAGUGUCACGACUUAUUCAGUAUUGGGUUCUACCAUUGAUUAUAAUAAGAGGUACUUUCUUCACGCAGN